Molecule: microRNA precursor, 95 nt
Filed under: Ovis aries (sheep)
Lineage: Eukaryota; Metazoa; Chordata; Mammalia; Artiodactyla; Bovidae
Description: miRNA (ENSOARG00000024462.1)
Source: RNAcentral
UAUUAUUGCGUUGGCAAAAACGUUCAUUCAGAUUUAUCUGUAAGAUGGUACAGAAAAACCCAAAUGAACUUUUUGGCCAACUCAAUCUAAUAUAC